UCCGAGUGGGGAAUAACUUCGGGAAACCGAGGCUAAUACCGCAUAAUACCCACGGGUCAAAGGAGCAAUUCGCUUGAGGAGGAGGUCGCGGCCGAUUAGUUAGUUGGCGGGGUAAUGGCCCCACCAAGACGGUGAUCGGUAUCCGGCCUGAGAGGGCGCACGGACACACUGGAACUGAAACACGGUCCAGACUCCUACGGGAGGCAGCAGUGGGGAAUUUUGCGCAAUGGGGGAAACCCUGACGCAGCAACGCCGCGUGGAGGAUGAAGUCUCUUGGGACGUAAACUCCUUUCGAUCGGGACGAUUAUGACGGUACCGGAAGAAGAAGCCCCGGCUAACUUCGUG
Molecule: ribosomal RNA, 345 nt
Filed under: uncultured bacterium
Lineage: Bacteria
Description: bacterial SSU rRNA
Rfam family: Bacterial small subunit ribosomal RNA
Source: RNAcentral